RNAcentral lists this long non-coding RNA (221 nucleotides) under Capsicum annuum. Its description in RNAcentral is "long non-coding RNA (CANN_LNC012605)". Lineage: Eukaryota; Viridiplantae; Streptophyta; Magnoliopsida; Solanales; Solanaceae. The record is from RNAcentral.
GCUAAUAGUGGCCAGCGUCAGAACAGACUCUAUGCGCUUCAGAACCAUCAUGAUCAGGAAAGGUUCCCUGGUAUAGAUUCGGGUAUGUUAUGAGUCCUUCAUCUUUAUGAUAUGCAUUGUUAUAUCCUUUGCUUUAAUGUUGAGCUUAUAUGUCAGCAUAAGUCCUGUAUUAGUUUUAGAUCUCAGUCGGUUAAUCAUGACCCAGUUCCUAGUGCCCCGUG